UAGGCGUAAAUGAUGCGAGUUAAGUGUGGGGGCAUCUACGAGAUGGCCCUGUGCUGUAGGGUAGCCGUUAAACUCGCUGCCUGGGGAGUACGGUCGCAAGGCUGAAACUUAAAGGAAUUGGCGGGGGAGCACCACAACGGGUGGAGCUUGCGGUUUAAUUGGAUUCAACGCCGGAAAUCUUACCGGGACCGACAGCAACAUAAAGGCCAGGCUGAAGACUUUGCCGGAUUAGCUGAGAGGAGGUGCAUGGCGUAGACGUCU
RNAcentral lists this ribosomal RNA (261 nucleotides) under uncultured archaeon. RNAcentral's name for it is "partial 16S ribosomal RNA". It matches the Rfam family "Archaeal small subunit ribosomal RNA", at positions 748 to 1009 of the family's 1478-position model. The record is from RNAcentral.